RNAcentral lists this ribosomal RNA (253 nucleotides) under uncultured bacterium. Its description in RNAcentral is "partial 16S ribosomal RNA". It matches the Rfam family "Bacterial small subunit ribosomal RNA", at positions 524 to 776 of the family's 1533-position model. The record is from RNAcentral.
UACGAAGGGGGCUAGCGUUGUUCGGAAUCACUGGGCGUAAAGGGCGCGUAGGCGGGCGACCAAGUCCGGGGUGAAAUCUUUCGGCUCAACCGGAAGAGUGCCUUGGAUACUGGUUGCCUCGAGGGAGGUAGGGGCAUGCGGAACUUCCGGUGGAGCGGUGAAAUGCGUAGAUAUCGGAAGGAACGCCGGUGGCGAAAGCGGCGUGCUGGACCUCUUCUGACGCUGAGGCGCGAAAGCCAGGGGAGCGAACGGG